Molecule: long non-coding RNA, 1386 nt
Filed under: Homo sapiens (human)
Lineage: Eukaryota; Metazoa; Chordata; Mammalia; Primates; Hominidae
Description: long intergenic non-protein coding RNA 1227
Source: RNAcentral
GGCAGAGGGGCCCAGUCUAGUCUGUGACCUGAGCCAUCAUGGUAGGGUGUCCAGGGUGAGGGGAGGGUGGUGUGAAUCCCCAGUAAUGCAGGUCCUUUCCAGGCCAGGCCCCUGGUCCCCAGGAGUGCGGGGAUGCCUGAGGUCUACUGCUGCCUUAUCCAGAGCUGCCAUCCCCGGCGAUGACUCAGAGUUCCUGUGGCCCCAGCAUCAUCCCUCCAUCCCUGGCUGUGAGGCAGGAGCAGAGUUGCAGACCUGAGAGGCCUUGAAUUUGUUUGAUAUAGGACUUUGCCACCAGACAAAGUGCUUUGCCUGUGAGGUCUGGCUUGGCCUGGCCUCUGAGAAAGAACAAACACAGACCUCACUGGAAGGAACCUGGAGAACGGGAGAGGAGAGGCUGCUGCUGUCUGCCCUCCCAGCAGCAGAUAUAAAGACAAUGGGCUUCUAAGUCCCCUAGAGUCCCAGCUGUGUAAUUUAAGGCGAGUUCAUCUCUCACAGCCUCAGUUUCCUCAUUUGCUGGCACCUGUCUUUCUCCUUCAUAGCCAUUGUCACUGUUGCAAUGAUAUCAACAAUGCUUACAUUUCAGAUAGAUCCCCAGCUGGGUUGAAAGGAACGUCAAGACCCUUCCUUUCUUAUGACCUAUGUAUCAACUCCCUUCUACCUUGCCUCCCUCCACUUGGAGCGAGUUCUAGUUGGUGAAAUGUAGCCAGAGGUUCCUGGAAAGGCUUUCCUUCUCAAGUAAAGCCUGGCUCAGAGAAAACCACUGGUCUCUUUCCUUUUCUUCCUCCUGACAUGAACAUGGGGCAGGAAGGAGCAUGGAGAAGACAAGAACAAGGCUCUCAGAAGGAAAUGGUGUGGCUGGAGCCAUGAGAACUGGUUGUGGAGGGGGUGAGGAAGGCAAAUAUAAUUUCUGACCUACGUAAUGAUGUAUGCACAAGAAGCCUCUCUUGAAUGUAUUAAUUCAGUAAACAGUUAUGGAGUCCUUACAAUGUGCUAGUGGGACUUUGAAGAUGAAUCCAAAUUUGGAUCCUGGCCUGGAAAGGCUCAAAGCCCAAUAUGGGAGUGAUUCUGAGCAGAAACAAAGGGGAACGUAUGUCUUCAUUGUGACUCAGCGAGCAAAGAGAUGGAGUCUUUUCCAAGAAGAAAGUGGGAGAUUUGGGACCACUGACAUAUUUGGCCCACUGAUUCCAUUCCCCUAGACCAACACGUGUUCAUCAAAUUGCAUCACUCUUAUGGGGAACUUAAUGCAACUCCGGUGCCCAUUGCAUUAGUUUUUGAUGAUGGAAUUCUCUUUGUGAACUUGAACUUGAGGGGUCUGGCUACCCCUCUGAGACUUCUUUUUUGAGAUAAAAUCAUAUAACAUAAAAUUCGCCCUUUUAAUGUGUACAA